UACACACCGCCCGUCACACCAUGGGAGUGAAUUGCACCAGAAGUAGUUAGCCUAACCGCAAGGGGGGCGAUUACCACGGUGUGCUUUAUGACUGGGGUG
This 99-nucleotide ribosomal RNA is filed under the name uncultured bacterium. RNAcentral's name for it is "partial 16S ribosomal RNA". It matches the Rfam family "Bacterial small subunit ribosomal RNA", at positions 1384 to 1482 of the family's 1533-position model. The record is from RNAcentral.